Anolis carolinensis (green anole) is the source of this 2277-nucleotide long non-coding RNA. The record is from Ensembl. Lineage: Eukaryota; Metazoa; Chordata; Lepidosauria; Squamata; Anolidae.
AUGGUUGAGCCUUCUGGCUCCGGUACUGGGAGACGGGGUCGUAAGACUCCUCGAGAGUCAGACUCUUUUGAGGAGCGUGAAAGGAAACGGCUCCAGGACUUAUUUGUAGAACCAACAGAUGAAGACUCAUUUGAGGGUUUUACCGAGGGAAUGGAGGAAGAGAUGGUUACCUCAGAGGAGGAUGACAUGGAGUGGACUCGUGUGAGGAAACGGCUCCGGGACUUAUUUGCAGAACCAACAGAUGAAGACUCAUUUGAGGGUUUUACCGAGGGAAUGGAGGAAGAGAUGGUUAGCUCAGAGGAGGAUGACAUGGAGUGGACUCGUGUGAGGGAGGAUUUGGGUGUCACCAGCACUGAUAGCAUGGGAGGCGAUUGGCGGGUUGCAGGAUCAGACCCAUGGACGGGCUGGAGGGAUGGAGCGGGAUCCGCAGCUGGGGAUGCUGUGGGGCGUAGUCAAAGGUGUUUUAGCUCUGAUGAGGAUGAUGAUGAUGAGGCACCUGGAAUUAGGAUAGCAGCUGACAGCGAUGAGGAGUUAUGAACUGGGAUAAAAUGGGGUUUAGGAUCAAUGGCUAAUUGCGUUGGGCAAGGUAAUCUGGACGAACGCUUGGGCUCUUGUUGGGGAACUUCCUGAAGACGGGUGUGAUUCGUUGCUGGAUACGUAAGUUACCAAGGACACUGGGCAUAGACGGCGGGAGGAACUGUGUGGGGUUUUUCUGUGCAACUUGUGUUUAAUCUUGAUAGCUUGGACCUCCGUCGUCUUUUUGACGGACAUUAAUUACCUACUCUGGAUUGACGCUGGACUGACUGACUGACUACGACCUUGGACUAUCCCUUUCUGUGGCUAUCGGUGGAACUCGUGGAACUUUAGACGCCCGCACUUGGCUUUCGACCUCGGACCGGACUGGGACCCUGCUGACCGCCGUGAUCCUGAUUGAUGUGCCUGGACCCGGAUUUCGCUCGUUGCACGGAGGAGUAACAGCCUGAGUUACUCAUCUGUAGCUUUUUGGUAGCAGAGAGGAAUCUGCUGCCAGCUUUUGAUGUUCAUUUUGACCUUUGUUUACCAACUUUUGUUUGUUUAAACUGCCAGGCUGAAGUAAGCACUUUUGAGUUAAUCCGGAUUAAACUCCUGUUUAAUCCGGUUUAUUCCUUCGAACCGUUUUAGUUCAAACUGAGCUGUUUCUGUUACUUUUCACACUGAAGACAAGUGUUUGCCUAGUCCUUUGUUUUCUACGGGCAUUUUUGUGUUCUGUAACUUUAAUAAACUGUGUUGUACUCUAUUUGGUGGCGUUCUGUCUAUGACAGAUCCUCCAAGGACAUGUAAGUUCUUUUUGUUGUGAAUCUUGAUAUUUAUAUACUAUAUAAGAUAUUAUUGGGGUGUAUUAUACAUGUCUAUUUUUAGUAUGGUUUGUAUUAUUUCUAGUAUGGUUUGUAUUAUUUUGACUCAAUUUACAUUUAAUUCUAUGAAAAGAAAUAAGACAGCAGAGCAGCAAACAGAGGGAACUCCAGGAUUACCUGAAGAAGGUCUACCUGAAGAAGGUCACCGAAACUGGAUGCAUACCCGGGAGACCAGUCGUUACUACUGACAUGGAACUUUGUUGCUAUUGACAUGGAACUUUGAUUUACUUUAAAUGAGUUACUAUUGACAUGGAACUUUGAUUUACUUUGAAUGAUCGAAUUUGAAGAAGAGUAUUACAAACCUUGAGAACACUAUCAAGAUUAUAUUUGUUAAAAUUGGACAUUGAAAUAUGUACUUAUCUGUACAGUUGGAAUAUAUAAAUUGAUAUUACAGUCAUAAUAUAUGUGAUUAUAUCACUUGAGGAAUUAUAGAACUAUAACUUACUUUAAAGUACAAUAUAUACCAUACUUUUCCUUUUUUCCUUUUUGCUGUAUAUAAUAGACAUCUGUGCAUAUAUCUGUUGAAAUUGCCCACAUACUUGUGGAUUUCAAUGACUUCUCUGUGUAGCCUGGCAUGGUGGUCCAGCAUUUCUGUGUUCUCAAAUAAUAUGCUAUGUCCAGGUUGGUUCAUCAAGUGCUCUGCUUACAAUGGCCCCUAUAGAAAGCAAAAGCCCCUAUAAAAAGCAAAUGCAUCCAUGCUUGCCUUCCAUUCAAACAAUGGUUGCAUGCAAAGGGGUGGACAUACUAGAAACAAGCACUGGAGUAAGUGCAGACAUAAACCCAUUGUCUGCCAAAUAUAUAUAUAGCCCAGAGAGAAUGAAAAUGUGCCAUAGGAGGAGCAAAGGAAGGAGGUGUUUCCCCUCCCUUACAGAUUACUUUGCUA